Molecule: transfer RNA, 73 nt
Filed under: Sedimentisphaerales bacterium
Lineage: Bacteria; Pseudomonadati; Planctomycetota; Phycisphaerae; Sedimentisphaerales
Also listed under: 2 other names
Description: tRNA-Lys
Rfam family: tRNA
About the family: Transfer RNA (tRNA) molecules are approximately 80 nucleotides in length. Their secondary structure includes four short double-helical elements and three loops (D, anti-codon, and T loops).
Source: RNAcentral
GGGUGAGUAGCUCAGCAGGUAGAGCAACGCACUUUUAAUGCGUAGGUCUUGGGUUCGAAUCCCAACUCACCCA